This is a long non-coding RNA of Cydia splendana, 774 nucleotides long. RefSeq lists it as uncharacterized. The transcript has 2 exons. The record is from RefSeq and is a predicted model, not a curated record. Lineage: Eukaryota; Metazoa; Arthropoda; Insecta; Lepidoptera; Tortricidae.
AUAAUAAGUCUGCAAGAAGAAGCAUAACCUAUAUGCUAGUUGGAUUAGGUAGCUGGUAAACAUUUCAAUACUCGUAAUGACUCCUGUGUACUUUGUGCUAGUCAUAUCUGUGCUGGCGAGCGUCGUCGCCCAUCCUUAUGAGGCGUCGAGCGCGAUAAAACAGCAAAGUAGAGUAAAGCGUGAAAAAGAUGGCGCUCCAGAGAUACAAGACCCCACGGACCCGAAGUACCAGAAAUUGGCCCAAGAAUCGUUUGAUAAGUACCGAGAGACUCACUCUGCCGGUCAGAUAAUUGUCAAGGAUAUCAUAGUUACACAAGUCACUGACCAGUUGGUGGGUGGAUAUGUGUAUCGUCUUUCAUUCAUCGUGUUCCCUAUCUAUGGUGAUGUACUUAAGUGCUAUUCUAAAAUUUUUGUUAAUUUAGAAAAUCAGAAGAAAUUUACUGUAAAUUGUGAUAAUUAAAUUCUCUUAUUUUCUUAAUUCUUGCACCAUUUUUUAUUACAUCUCUGUGUAGCCCUAUGGUUGACUGGUAGAGAAUGCCUUUAGGCAUUAAGUCCGCCAUUUGUACAUUUUAUUUGUAUUUUGUGGAAUAAGGUUUACUCUAAAGUCAUCAUACCCAAUUUAAAUUGGAUUAAUUGAAGACGGGUGCGGUAUUACGGUGAUAUUACCCCGUUACAUUUUGGUAACUUUCUCUUGAAUUAUUAAAUAGCCUACAUUUGUUUUUAACAGGUAGGUAUGUAUAAUAUUUUCAUAGAGAAUAAAACUGUUUUAGUUAA